CAGUCGCCGCGGUAACACGAAGGGGGCUAGCGUUGUUCGGAUUUACUGGGCGUAAAGCGCACGUAGGCGGAUUCUUAAGUCAGAGGUGAAAUCCCAAGGCUCAACCUUGGAACUGCCUUUGAUACUGGGGAUCUUGAGUUCGGGAGAGGUGAGUGGAACUGCGAGUGUAGAGGUGAAAUUCGUAGAUAUUCGCAAGAACACCAGUGGCGAAGGCGGCUCACUGGCCCGAUACUGACGCUGAGGUGCGAAAGCGUGGGGAGCAAACAGGAUUAGAGACCCGAGUAGUCCCUGUCUCUUAUAC
This 301-nucleotide ribosomal RNA is filed under the name uncultured bacterium. RNAcentral describes it as "partial 16S ribosomal RNA". It matches the Rfam family "Bacterial small subunit ribosomal RNA", at positions 509 to 807 of the family's 1533-position model. The record is from RNAcentral.